RNAcentral lists this ribosomal RNA (446 nucleotides) under uncultured bacterium. RNAcentral describes it as "bacterial SSU rRNA". It matches the Rfam family "Bacterial small subunit ribosomal RNA", at positions 29 to 501 of the family's 1533-position model. The record is from RNAcentral.
AACGAACGCUGGCGGCAGGCUUAACACAUGCAAGUCGAACGUGAAGCUGGAGCUUGCUCCAGUGGAAAGUGGCAGACGGGUGAGUAACGCGUGGGAAUUUACCCAGUGGUUCGGAAUAACUUCAGGAAACCGGAGCUAAUACCGAAUACGCCCUUCGGGGGAAAGAUUUAUCGCCAUUGGAUAAGCCCGCGUCGGAUUAGCUUGUUGGUGAGGUAAAAGCUCACCAAGGCGACGAUCCGUAGCGUGGUCGUGAGAGGAGUGAUCAGCCACACGUGGGACGUGAGACACGGCCCAGACUCCUACGGGAGGCAGCAGUGGGGAAUAUUGCGCAAGUGGAGGAAACUCUGACGCAGCCAGUGCCGCGUGAGUGAAGAAGGCUCUUAGGGUUGUAAAACUCUUUCGCUAGGGAAGAUAAUGACGGUACCUAGUAAAGAAGCCCCGCCAAC